Gopherus agassizii (Agassiz's desert tortoise) is the source of this 170-nucleotide unclassified non-coding RNA. NCBI's taxonomy places the organism in Eukaryota, Metazoa, Chordata, Testudines, Testudinidae. The record is from Ensembl.
AAGAAUGACAGGAGACUGAAGGCCUCUGUUUAUUCACAGAAGAGGUACAGCACUUGCAGCAACGGUUUCCCCACACUGCCCCCCUGUGGAAGUGCCUCAACCCUGAACAGGAGAGACAAACAUAUAGAGGUGAGAAAGGCAUUCAGUCUACCUACUCUGCUGAGGCUGCC